GAACUGAAGAGUUUGAUCAUGGCUCAGAUUGAACGCUGGCGGCAGGCCUAACACAUGCAAGUCGAGCGGAUGACGGGAGCUUGCUCCUUGAUUCAGCGGCGGACGGGUGAGUAAUGCCUAGGAAUCUGCCUGGUAGUGGGGGACAACGUUUCGAAAGGAACGCUAAUACCGCAUACGUCCUACGGGA
RNAcentral lists this ribosomal RNA (187 nucleotides) under Pseudomonas putida. Its description in RNAcentral is "partial 16S ribosomal RNA". It matches the Rfam family "Bacterial small subunit ribosomal RNA", at positions 1 to 187 of the family's 1533-position model. Lineage: Bacteria; Pseudomonadati; Pseudomonadota; Gammaproteobacteria; Pseudomonadales; Pseudomonadaceae. The record is from RNAcentral.